AAAAUUUUAGGCUAAUUAAACCAUAAACCUUCAAAGUUUAAAUUAAAAGUUUAAUCUUUUAAAUUUUA
Molecule: transfer RNA, 68 nt
Filed under: Bourletiella arvalis
Lineage: Eukaryota; Metazoa; Arthropoda; Collembola; Symphypleona; Bourletiellidae
Description: tRNA-Trp
Rfam family: tRNA
About the family: Transfer RNA (tRNA) molecules are approximately 80 nucleotides in length. Their secondary structure includes four short double-helical elements and three loops (D, anti-codon, and T loops).
Source: RNAcentral